RNAcentral lists this microRNA precursor (59 nucleotides) under Tribolium castaneum (red flour beetle). RNAcentral's name for it is "Tca-Mir-3851-P3_pre stem-loop". The record is from RNAcentral. Lineage: Eukaryota; Metazoa; Arthropoda; Insecta; Coleoptera; Tenebrionidae.
AGUUGAUUUGGGGUGGUACUAUGUUUGAAGAUACGCAUAGUACGUUCCGAAUCAACUUG